UACUGCUGCGCUCUGGGCUUGUGG
RNAcentral lists this non-coding RNA (24 nucleotides) under Mus musculus (house mouse). Lineage: Eukaryota; Metazoa; Chordata; Mammalia; Rodentia; Muridae. The record is from RNAcentral.